RNAcentral lists this transfer RNA (72 nucleotides) under Bos taurus (domestic cattle). It matches the Rfam family "tRNA". Rfam says of the family: Transfer RNA (tRNA) molecules are approximately 80 nucleotides in length. Lineage: Eukaryota; Metazoa; Chordata; Mammalia; Artiodactyla; Bovidae. The record is from Rfam by way of RNAcentral. RNAcentral also lists the same sequence under 6 other names.
UCCCUGGCAGUCCAGUGGUUAGGACUUGGUGCUUUCACUGCUGUAGCCAGGGUUCAAUCCCUGGUCAGGGAA